GGUUAAGCGACUAAGCGUACACGGUGGAUGCCCUGGCAGUCAGAGGCGAUGAAGGGCGUGCUAAUCUGCGAUAAGCGCCGGUAAGGUGAUAUGAACCGUUAUAACCGGCGAUACCCGAAUGGGGAAACCCAGUGUGACUCGUCACACUAUCAUUAACUGAAUCCAUAGGUUAAUGAGGCGAACCGGGGGAACUGAAACAUCUAAGUACCCGAGGAAAGAAAUCAACCGAGAUUCCCCCAGUAGCGGCGAGCGAACGGGGAGGAGCCCAGAGCCUGAAUCAGCAUGUGUGUUAGUGGAAGCGUCUGGAAAGGCGCGCGAUACAGGGUGACAGCCCCGUACACAAAAGCGCAUGUGACUGUGAGCUCGAUGAGUAGGGCGGGACACGUGGUAUCCUGUCUGAAUAUGGGGGGACCAUCCUCCAAGGCUAAAUACUCCUGACUGACCGAUAGUGAACCAGUACCGUGAGGGAAAGGCGAAAAAGAACCCCCGGCGAGGGGAGUGAAAAAGAACCUGAAACCGUGUACGUACAAGCAGUGGGAGCCCCACCACCAAAGCAUUCUCUGGUGUUGAAGGCCCUGCAAAGCAGCAUCGCGGUGGCGGAGCGUCGUUUGCGACGCCCAACACACAAAACAAGCGGUGAGUGCUUUGGGGUGGGGUGACUGCGUACCUUUUGUAUAAUGGGUCAGCGACUUAUAUUCUGUAGCAAGGUUAACCGAAUAGGGGAGCCGGAGGGAAACCGAGUCUUAAUUGGGCGUUAAGUUGCAGGGUAUAGACCCGAAACCCGGUGAUCUAGCCAUGGGCAGGUUGAAGGUUGGGUAACACUAACUGGAGGACCGAACCGACUAAUGUUGAAAAAUUAGCGGAUGACCUGUGGCUGGGGGUGAAAGGCCAAUCAAACCGGGAGAUAGCUGGUUCUCCCCGAAAGCUAUUUAGGUAGCGCCUCGUGAAUUCAUCUCCGGGGGUAGAGCACUGUUUCGGCUAGGGGGCCAUCCCGGCUUACCAACCCGAUGCAAACUGCGAAUACCGGAGAAUGUUAUCACGGGAGACACACGGCGGGUGCUAACGUCCGUCGUGAAGAGGGAAACAACCCAGACCGCCAGCUAAGGUCCCAAAGUCAUGGUUAAGUGGGAAACGAUGUGGGAAGGCCCAGACAGCCAGGAUGUUGGC
This 1167-nucleotide ribosomal RNA is filed under the name Salmonella enterica subsp. enterica serovar Agona str. SA-1. Its description in RNAcentral is "bacterial LSU rRNA". It matches the Rfam family "Bacterial large subunit ribosomal RNA", at positions 1 to 1105 of the family's 2925-position model. Lineage: Bacteria; Pseudomonadati; Pseudomonadota; Gammaproteobacteria; Enterobacterales; Enterobacteriaceae. The record is from RNAcentral.